Molecule: ribosomal RNA, 252 nt
Filed under: uncultured bacterium
Lineage: Bacteria
Description: partial 16S ribosomal RNA
Rfam family: Bacterial small subunit ribosomal RNA
Source: RNAcentral
UACAGAGGGGGCAAGCGUUAUUCGGAAUUAUUGGGCGUAAAGGGCGCGUAGGCGGCUUGGCAAGUGGAAGGUGAAAUCCCUCGGCUCAACUGAGGAACUGCCUUCCAGACUGCUUUGCUUGAGUCCGGGAGAGGUGAGUGGAAUUCCCAGUGUAGCGGUGAAAUGCGUAGAUAUUGGGAGGAACACCAGUGGCGAAGGCGGCUCACUGGACCGGAACUGACGCUGAGGCGCGAAAGCGUGGGGAGCAACGGG